ACGAACGCUGGCGGCGUGCUUCACACAUGCAAGUCGAACGCUGAAGCUCAGCUUUUGUUGGGUGGAUGAGUGGCGAACGGGUGAGUAACACGUGAGUAACCUGCCUCCUUCUUUGGGAUAACGCCCGGAAACGGGUGCUAAUACUGGAUAUUCACUGGUCUUCGCAUGGGGGUUGGUGGAAAGGGUUUUUCUGGUGGGGGAUGGGCUCGCGGCCUAUCAGCUUGUUGGUGGGGUGAUGGCCUACCAAGGCUUUGACGGGUAGCCGGCCUGAGAGGGUGACCGGUCACAUUGGGACUGAGAUACGGCCCAGACUCCUACGGGAGGCAGCAGUGGGGAAUAUUGCACAAUGGGCGCAAGCCUGAUGCAGCGACGCCGCGUGAGGGAUGGAGGCCUUCGGGUUGUGAACCUCUUUCGCUCAUGGUCAAGCCGCAACAAUGGUUGUGGUGAGGGUAGUGGGGAAAGAAGCGCCGGCUAACUACGU
This 481-nucleotide ribosomal RNA is filed under the name uncultured bacterium. RNAcentral describes it as "partial 16S ribosomal RNA". It matches the Rfam family "Bacterial small subunit ribosomal RNA", at positions 29 to 506 of the family's 1533-position model. The record is from RNAcentral.